Non-coding RNA from Aegilops tauschii subsp. strangulata, 2012 nucleotides. Lineage: Eukaryota; Viridiplantae; Streptophyta; Magnoliopsida; Poales; Poaceae. The record is from RefSeq and is a predicted model, not a curated record.
ACUGCCUUUCUUAACCAUUACCACCUCCCCGUACACACACGUGUUUCUUCUUAUCCCCGGCAAAUACUAAAUACCUUCUAAAUACAUCAUUAUCUGCUUCCAUUUCUACCUUGCCGUUAGCUAGAUUGCAAUUCGCCCCUCUAGCACAAUUGCCAAUUCACGGGUCAUAUUCCAAAUCGUGGGCAUCACCUCCCCUCCCCCAUCAUCGGCGAUGACAACAUGUAUUUCCAAGCCCACCAUCGUUGUGCUUUCCAUGUUGUGGUCACUCCAUCGAUAUUCCUCUCUACCCCUCCUCCGCGAGUCUUAUCUCCAUCGAUGGUGCCUUCCAUCUUCAUGACCGUGAGGGUCGUUUCUAUAUGAUUGAGGACUUCAAAGUUCUAGAUCUAAGAAUCGAUGGUGUCGUCCAUCUUCAUGACCGCGAGGGUUAUUUCCAGGUGAUUGUCAGAUUCAAAGUUCUAGAUCUAAGCAUCGAUGGUGUCCUCCCUCUUCAUGACCGUGAGAGUUAUUUCCAUGUGAUUGUCAGAUUCAAUGUUCUAGAUCUAACCAUCGUAGUUUAGAGUUUAGGGAUUUGUUCAAAAUAGCUAAUAAUUGGAAUCCUAAUAAUGGUGUCCUUCAUCUUCAUGACCAUGAGGGUUAUUUGCAGGUGAUUGUCGGAUUCAAAGUUCUAGAUCUAAGCAUCGAGGUCGUCCUUCAUCUUCAAGACCAUGGGGGUUAUUUCCUGGUGAUUGUCAGAUUCAAAGCUCUAGAUCUAAGCAUCGACAGUGUCCUUCAUCUUCAUGACCAUGAGGGUUACUUGCAGGUGAUUGUCGGAUUCAAAGCCCUAGAUCUAAGCAUCGACGGUGUCCUUCAUCUUCAUGAGUCAUGACCGUGAGGUUUAUUUGCAGGUGAUUGUCAGAUUCAAAGUUCUAGAUCUAAGCAUCGACGGUGUCCUUCAUCUUCAUGACCGCGAGGGUUAUUUGCAGGUGAUUGGAUUCAAAGUUCUAGAUCUAAUUACCGAUGGUGUCCUCCCUCUUCAUGACCGCGGGGGUUAUUUCCAGGUGAUUGUCGGAUUGAAAGUUCCAGAUCUAAGCAUCAAUGGUGUCCUCCCUCUUCACGGCUGCGAGGGUUAUUUCCAGAUGAUUGUUGGAUACAAAGUUCAAGAUCUAAGCAUCGAUGGUGUCCUUCAUCUUCAUGACCGCGAGGGUUAUUUCCAGGUGAUUGCCGGACUCAAAGUCUAGAUCUAAGCAUCAGUGGUGUCCUCCCUCUCCAUGACAACGAGGGUUAUUUCCAGUGGGGGUUAUUUCCAGGUGAUUGCUAGAUUCAAAGUUAUAUAUCUAAGCAUCGAUGGUGUCCUUCCUCUUCAUGACCGUGAGGGUUAUUUCCAGGUGAUUGUCACAUUCAAAAUUCUAUAUCGAAGGAUCGAUGGUGUCCUUCCUCUUCAUGGCCGUGAGGGUUAUUUCCAGGUGAUUGACGGAUUCAAAGUUUUAGAUCUAAGCGUCGAUGGUAUGAUCCCUCUUCAUGACCCUCAGGUUAUUUCGAGGUAAGUGACGAAAGCAAAGUUCUAUAUCUAAGCAAGAAAUAUUGGUUAAAGUUGGUAUGUUUACUGUUUAUAUAGAAAGCGAGUUGAAAGUGAAAAGAAUAUCUUAGAUCCGAUUGAAAGCUCCUAUGUACUGAGGUUCUCAGAAAGCGGGGUUGGGAGGGGAAGGGUGGAUGACGGGGAGUUGAAGGGUUUGUAGAACAGAAUAGACGGGGCAUCGAUAAUAGAGAUCGAGUGGCUGAUGUUGGAGCGAUGUUUGGCCACAGUGGAGGGUCACUCUUCACAUACAUAUGAGUCCUCUUGUUGGAUACCCCAUCCAACACAUCCUCUUGGACCACUGAAUCCUCUCACACCUUGGGGUCUCCUCUCCCACUCUAUUUUCCUAAGAUCUGCCCUAUUGGUCUGAUGGCUGAUAACAGGACGGUGAUACCUCAUCUAUAUGUAAAUUGUAGGAGAUUGUUAGUUUUUUAGUUGUUCCUUUCUUCUUCCCGGAAGA